AGCACUUCUUGGCCCUUUGGUUGAGAUCAAGUGUAGUAUCUGUUUUUUACCAGUUAAUCUCCCAAAGGCAGAGAGCAGACACGAAUUUGGUUCCAUGGUACCAGGUUUGGAGUCCACGAUAAACCAUAGUUUCCUUACCAGAAACAGAAGAGAUUGCUACUGAUUUGGCACCUACUAUGUGUCAGGCCAUCAUAUUAUAAGGGGCUUUGACAUACCUUUU
RNAcentral lists this small nuclear RNA (220 nucleotides) under Erinaceus europaeus (western European hedgehog). RNAcentral describes it as "U2 spliceosomal RNA". It matches the Rfam family "U2 spliceosomal RNA". From Rfam's summary of the family: U2 is a small nuclear RNA (snRNA) component of the spliceosome (involved in pre-mRNA splicing). Complementary binding between U2 snRNA (in an area lying towards the 5' end but 3' to hairpin I) and the branchpoint sequence (BPS) of the intron results the bulging out of an unpaired adenosine, on the BPS, which initiates a nucleophilic attack at the intronic 5' splice site, thus starting the first of two transesterification reactions that mediate splicing. Lineage: Eukaryota; Metazoa; Chordata; Mammalia; Eulipotyphla; Erinaceidae. The record is from Rfam by way of RNAcentral.